CCUACGGGAGGCAGCAGUGGGGAAUUUUGGACAAUGGGGGCAACCCUGAUCCAGCCAUGCCGCGUGCAGGAUGAAGGUCUUCGGAUUGUAAACUGCUUUUGUCAGGGACGAAAAGGGAUGCGAUAACACCGCAUUCCGCUGACGGUACCUGAAGAAUAAGCACCGGCUAACUACGUGCCAGCAGCCGCGGUAAUACGUAGGGUGCAAGCGUUAAUCGGAAUUACUGGGCGUAAAGCGUGCGCAGGCGGUUCUGUAAGAUAGAUGUGAAAUCCCCGGGCUCAACCUGGGAAUUGCAUAUAUGACUGCAGGACUUGAGUUUGUCAGAGGAGGGUGGAAUUCCACGUGUAGCAGUGAAAUGCGUAGAUAUGUGGAAGAACACCGAUGGCGAAGGCAGCCCUCUGGGACAUGACUGACGCUCAUGCACGAAAGCGUGGGGAGC
Molecule: ribosomal RNA, 439 nt
Filed under: uncultured Sutterella sp.
Lineage: Bacteria; Pseudomonadati; Pseudomonadota; Betaproteobacteria; Burkholderiales; Sutterellaceae
Description: bacterial SSU rRNA
Rfam family: Bacterial small subunit ribosomal RNA
Source: RNAcentral